Non-coding RNA from Pogona vitticeps (central bearded dragon), 4863 nucleotides. The record is from RefSeq and is a predicted model, not a curated record. NCBI's taxonomy places the organism in Eukaryota, Metazoa, Chordata, Lepidosauria, Squamata, Agamidae.
GGCGUGGCCUUUGUGGAAGGAGGCGUGGCUCCUGAGGAAAACGGCGCGAGCGACUCCGGAGUUUUUCACUCGUCGAGAGGGGAAAGGAGGCGUGGCCUUCGAGGCGAAGCGGAGAGAAGGGAGGGUGGGACGUCUGGUUGCCAUGGGUUCGCUUCCGGCGCUGCCAGGCGGAAGUGGAUGAAAUUCUGAGACUGGUUGACGUUUGGCGUCGUUGCCCUCGGGACGAGGUGAUUGAGAUCAGAACAACUCGCAGUGUCCUGUACUGUCUUCUUGCAAGCAGUCCUGUCAGGAUGAUUUAGAUCCAGCAGAAAACUAUUGUGAGACAGUUUUGAAAAAAAAAUUCUGCACUGACAGAUGUGAAAUUGAAGUCCUGUAAUAUUCUCUGAGAAACACAAUUGGAAUUGGCAGAGAUGGAGUAUUGUGGCUCAUGGCUUUUCUUGAGCAGCCUAGAUGGUUAGUAGCGAAAGCCGGACAUCCUCUCAAUGAGAUGGAAGAUUCUGCAAGAACCUUAAAGACUUGAGAAGAAUUAUCCUGGGAUCAGAAGACGAAGCUGCUUUCCUCUGUAGUAGUGCCGGGGCUAUAGGCAUAUUUUGCCCUGCUUUCCAGCAUAAGGGGAAUUGGACAGGCAGUUGAAAAAAAACACCUAUUCAGGUUUGCCCCCCUGCACUGAUUCUUCAAGGUGGAGUCUUUGAGGGGGGAGGGGGGUGCCAAGAGACCCCCCCUCCCCCAUGAGAGAGAUUUAGACUGGCCAUCCUACAGCUGUGGAAAAGUGCUACCUGCCAGGUUCUUGGUGAUUGCCUGAUGCCCAUUGAAGGAGAGAGCAGAAGAAGACAAGGUGGGGGCCUGUGCCUGUGAAGGAUGCUGAAGAAAAGCAGCCUGAUUCUCUGGGGCGUGGUGCUUUUUGUGGCUUGGCACGCCCUAAUCCUCUUCUUCCUGUGGACUCGGCCUCAGUCCUUUUCUGACCAUACUCGCCUCACCGAAGAGGUAAUUCGUCUGGCCCAGGACGCAGAGGUGGAACUGGAGCGCCAGAAGGACCUCUUGCACCAGAUCUACCGUUACAGUGCCCUUUGGAGCAGGAGAAAGGCGAAUGAGGCCCAGAGGCUCCGCCUCUCCGCCGCUGCAGCAUCCACCCAGCCUUCCACUAUUGCACCUUUGUCACGUCGCAGUCAGAUCUCCCCCGAUGCCAUUCUGCCGGUGAUUGUGAUUGCCUGUGACCGUAGCACAGUCCGUCGUUGUCUAGACAAGCUGUUACAUUACCGUCCUUCCAAGGAACGGUUUCCUAUCAUUGUGAGCCAGGACUGUGGGCAUGAGGAGACAGCCAGGGUCAUCGCCUCCUAUGGAGAUGCAAUCAUGCACAUCAAGCAGCCAAACCUCAGUGAUAUCCCUGUGCCCACUGACCACCGCAAAUUCCAGGGCUAUUACAAGAUUGCUCGACAUUACCGCUGGGCCUUGAGCCAGGUCUUUCGGACCUUCAAGUACCAAGCCGCCAUUGUAGUGGAGGAUGACCUGGAGGUCGCUCCAGAUUUUUUUGAAUACUUCCAGGCCACUUUUCCUCUCCUGCUAACGGACCCGAAUCUUUGGUGUAUCUCUGCCUGGAAUGACAAUGGCAAGGAACAGAUGGUCGAUGCGGCCCAUCCGGAGCUACUUUACCGUACGGACUUUUUCCCCGGGCUGGGCUGGCUUUUGCUCGCUGACCUCUGGGACGAGCUGGAGCCCAAGUGGCCCAAGGCCUUCUGGGAUGAUUGGAUGCGGCAGCCUGAGCAGCGGCGGGGCCGUUCGUGCAUCAGGCCUGAGGUGUCCCGUACCAUGACUUUUGGGCGUAAAGGUGUGAGCCACGGUCAGUUCUUUGACCAGUACCUGAAGUUCAUCAAGCUCAACGACCGCUUCGUGCCUUUCACCCAGAUGGACCUUUCUUACCUCAAGAAGGAUGAGUACGAGCGCUCAUUCCUUGCCCAAGUCUACGGUGCCCCUGAGCUGCGAGUGGAAGAGCUGCAGGGAAACCAGCGCCGGGAGCUGGGCACCGUCCGGGUGCAGUAUACCACCCGGGACUCCUUCAAGGCCUUUGCAAAAGCCUUGGGCGUCAUGGACGACCUCAAGUCGGGAGUGCCCCGUGCGGGUUACCAGGGCAUUGUCAGCUUCCUUUAUCGAGGACGCCGCGUUUACUUAGCACCUCCUUCAGACUGGACAGGAUAUGACCCCAGCUGGAGUUAGCAGCUGAUGAUCCUUAAGCAUGUUGGACCCUCGGGACAAAAGGGUGCUUGGAGUAGGGUAGGUGGGGGAGGACAAAACUCUUUGUUUGUUUGUUUCUUAUUUUCCUGUGUGGCAUUCGAGUGCAUUCCAGAGAUGAGGGGUGUUUUGUGCACUUAAAAUACUGGGGGCGGAGGGGUGGUUUGCCGGGGUUGGUCUGAUGCCCCGAAGAGAGGGAGAAAGGUAGAGCAUUCUGAGCUGUCUCAGUUCUGCCCCAUCUCCAGUGCCUAUUCUCCUUCUUGACAUGGGAGGUUGUCCACUCAUUGGAUCUACAGGGGCUCCUCCAAAUGUACACAUUUGGAGACCAAAGCAGCAGCUUUUCUUCCCAGCUUGGUUGAGUCAUCCUAGGCCUGCUCAACAUGUGAUCUGACGAGCCAGAUGCAUCUUAGUAUCCACGUAGCUUGGUCUGCUAGGGGCUUAAUAACUCACCUCUUUGUGUGAGUCAUUUUUAGGCAAGCAAAAAGGUAUCAUGCUCCUGACAGGCCACCAUACAUAGCUGAUAGCCUUCCAUCAGACUGACUGAUCACAGUUUGGGCAGAUUUAAACUAUAAGGAGAAAAUAAGGGCCAUUUCCCACCUGCUGGCUACCUGUUCUGUUUUCACCUGGGUUUUUUUUUUUUAAGGCCCAGAGAGCAGGGAAGCCCUGAGGUGAUCAGGAAGGAUCUUUGGAAGGACCAUUUUUAUUGACCAUAUUGGCCUUUUUUGUUUUUCCUUAAGUGUCUCGGAUACCUAAUUUCAUUAACCCUGCUGGAUGGAUUGAUAACAAUAGGACGUACACAUUGAUCAAUGUAAUGUGAUUGUCACUCAGGUGAGGAGAGGAGGGGAAGAGAGAGUGGAGUUUCUGCCUGCUUUUACCUGAGAAAUAAAGUGGAUUAGUGAGGAGAAGCAUGGGAAGCACGUUGCCUUUUUAUAGCUCCAUGUUGGGGCCUCUUAAUUUUUGCGUAAAUGAAGUAUGAGAGAGAGAUGGGCAUUUUCUUUUCACCCUUUUAAAAAAAUUGGUUACAUGGUGCAGUGGUUGUGGUUCUGUAUCUCUGCAGCUAGCAUUAACCAAAGCAUCUUCUUGUCAGCUGGAUUGUUCUCAAAACUCCAUCAGAUAAUCGAUAGUUGACAGCACAGCUGGAGGAAGCUCGGUUGGGCAAGCCUUACCUUAAGUCUCCUACAAAUCUAAUGUAUCAGGAUGAGGUCUUCAGCUUGCUGUGGAGGAGCACACAGACUUUCCAAGCUUUGUUGCAGUCUGAGAUGAAAAGAGACUCAGGCCUUUUCCAACUGGUGCCCGCCAAAUGUCUUGGAUUUCUCUGCCCAUCCUUCACAGCCAGGGUGGUGGGAUUUACUACCUAGAGAGCAUUAGUCUGAGGUGAGCUGCUACCGAGCUUCUCCACCUCUGUAUUAUCUCUGGGUAUAUACUUUUGCCACCACAGUAUAAUAACUAUGUCAUAUUUACGCAAAGGCUGGCUUAAUUAUUGCCUGUCAUAGAUGCCAUGACCUCUUUCCCGGGGAGCAAGGAGACGUGUCUCAUCACCUCAAGGCUGCCUUAAUCCUCCUUGGAGUGGGGGCUACUUCCUUCCUAAACCCAAUCUCAUGUUUUGAGUUGGUUGCCCCUCAGUGGCAUUUUCUUUUGACUGGUUACACUGGCUACUCUGUUUGAACUGGACACUGCCAUGUCUGUGGGAGAAGUAAGGUGGAGAAUUCUUGGGCAGCAGAGCAUGUUGGGGAAGGGGCUGUCCACAGCAAAGGGGCCCAGCCUUAUUCAAUGGUGCAGAAUCCCUCUUCUCCAUUUUUGCCUCUAGGAGGUGCUGAAGAGUUUCUCCAAGACCAUCUUACCCAGGUGGACAUGGAGAAGGAACUUCAGACCUUAUUUGGCCAAAAUUUCAGACCACACCAAAGGGAACCUAGACGCAAAGGACCAGCGCUUCUGCCACAGGUGGUUAGGAUGGAGGUGGUGAAGCAUCCACCUUUUGUUCUUCCACAAUUGCUUAGUAUUUGCCAGGUCCUCUGCUCUUCUUCCUCUUGUUUUGGAGUUGAUGUCACCUAACUGUAGGUCUCUGAAGCUUUCACUACUUCCCUGCCUGUUCCUACUGUCACGGGAUGGACACUUUUUUUAAAAAAAAAUCUAACCUUACUUUUUUGCAGAAAGAGUCUGCCUUGAGGACUUCUUCUACCCUUCCUGUCUCCAGCCUUGGUUUUGGACACCGUAGUUCCAUAAAACUAUAUCCACCACCUCUUGCCCAAACUCAAUCCUGUGGCAUGUUGUCUGUGCUUGUGUCUUGUCCUAGCUCAUGGGGCUCUUCCUUCCCUUUCCAUUCCAGACAGUGAUUAAAGCAAAGGCAUGGAAGGAGGAGACUAGCUGAGGUCCAUGGGGGCAGGAAUGAAGAUGUGAGUUAGUUAGCAAGAAACUGCGGUCUACACACCCACCCCUUUCUCCCCCCAAAGUCCUUCCACUCAUGAAACUGUCUGUUUUGAAAUAAGAACUGCAAAUAUGAUUGUGAAAAAUUGUUGUCACUUAAUUACAUUGUUUGAUGGAGAGAUGUUUUUAUGUCCAGAACUCAAUUGGUGAAAAAAAGUUUAAAGAUGCAAAAACUUAUUUUCCACAAUGAAAUAAACUGGUCCUUUUCAAACA